RNAcentral lists this ribosomal RNA (239 nucleotides) under uncultured bacterium. RNAcentral's name for it is "partial 16S ribosomal RNA". It matches the Rfam family "Bacterial small subunit ribosomal RNA", at positions 15 to 236 of the family's 1533-position model. The record is from RNAcentral.
GAUCCUGGCUCAGGAUGAACGCUGGCGGCGUGCCUAACACAUGCAAGUCGAGCGAAGCGGUUUUGGGGAAGUUUUCGGAUGGAAUUAAAACUGACUGAGCGGCGGACGGGUGAGUAACGCGUGGGUAACCUGCCUCAUACAGGGGGAUAACAGUUAGAAAUGGCUGCUAAUACCGCAUAAGCACACAGCUUCGCAUGGAGCAGUGUGAAAAACUCUGGUGGUAUGAGAUGGACCCGCGU